Molecule: small RNA, 107 nt
Filed under: Marmota monax (woodchuck)
Lineage: Eukaryota; Metazoa; Chordata; Mammalia; Rodentia; Sciuridae
Source: RNAcentral
GCUGGGUAUAAUGGGGUAUGCCUGUAAUCCCAGAUACUCAGGAGGCUGAGGCAGAAGAUUCACAAGUUCAAGGUCAAACUGGGCAACUUAGUGAGACCCUGUUUCAA